This 377-nucleotide ribosomal RNA is filed under the name uncultured organism. Its description in RNAcentral is "partial 16S ribosomal RNA". It matches the Rfam family "Bacterial small subunit ribosomal RNA", at positions 527 to 896 of the family's 1533-position model. The record is from RNAcentral.
GUAGGUGGCAAGCGUUGUCCGGAAUUAUUGGGCGUAAAGCGCGCGCAGGCGGUUCUUUAAGUCUGAUGUGAAAGCCCACGGCUCAACCGUGGAGGGUCAUUGGAAACUGGAGAACUUGAGUACAGAAGAGGAAAGCGGAAUUCCACGUGUAGCGGUGAAAUGCGUAGAGAUGUGGAGGAACACCAGUGGCGAAUGCGGCUUUCUGGUCUGUAACUGACGCUGAGGCGCGAAAGCGUGGGGGGAGCAAACAGGAUUAGAUACCCUGGUAGUCCACGCCGUAAACGAUGAGUGCUAAGUGUUAGGGGGUUUCCGCCCCCCCCUUAGUGCUGCAGCUAACGCAUUAAGCACUCCGCCUGGGGAGUACGGCCGCAAGGCUG